UUCUUUUGAUAUUUCAAAUUUUCUUUCUAUCUACACCGAACAGUAAACGAGUUUUUUAAAUGGGAAAUCUUUUUUCUUCAGGUUAAAAUUGAACUGAUCCGGGAUAGUAGCCUGCCCUGCUGUAUCGUUGAGUCUGAUCCUGCCAGCUGCCACAUUUGAAUAAUGGAAUCCAAUUGAGUCCAGCCGAUCACUUUGUCUUGGGGUAAUCGAUGUUUAGUGACUAGCAUCCCCUGGCGAGGAAUGGUGACAACUUAUUGUCAACAAACAACGUUUUGAAAACUGACAUGCCCAUUAUGUGGGCCAAAAAAUGUAAAUUUGGAAGCAACUGCUGGUGCUGGACUGUUCAUUCAGGAGAAAGUCAAUUGUUUAGAGACCCAAGAAUGAAUGAAUUGUUUCGCUGCCUCAAACCAUAACCCACUAGUAAACUAAAUGGUGAAUUUUCAAUUUUGAUUCCUUAUUUGAAAAUGAGUUAAUUGAGUCCUCUGCUUGACUAAAUCCUAAUCACCUGACUGGGAAAUUUACCCAAUCUCACAUACAGUAGACUUGUGUAAAAAUAAAUUUAUGACUAACACUGCCCAAUGAUACCAGCAGCAGUUGCUACCAUUGAAUCUACGUCUAUGUCAGGAGCAGGUGAUGAAACAGGCAUUUGAAGGAGUGCAAUCUGGCCACCUAGCCGAAAGACUUUUCAACAGCAAACUCGUCAGCUGCAUGAGUAAACAACAGUUGGCUUUUCCUUAUACAUAGGAAAAUACAUCUAUUGGGAUCACGUGAGAAGUGGAAGCGUUUAGCCAACAUCGUCAGCCGCAUUGAACAGAACAAUCAUCUGGAGUUGUCGCAGACCCAACAGAUUUUGAAGCUCAAAGUGUCACCGGAUGUGAAUUGAUGAAUCGUUAAAUUCCAUCAACUUCUGC
Long non-coding RNA from Daphnia pulicaria, 911 nucleotides. RefSeq lists it as uncharacterized. The transcript has 4 exons. Lineage: Eukaryota; Metazoa; Arthropoda; Branchiopoda; Diplostraca; Daphniidae. The record is from RefSeq and is a predicted model, not a curated record.